AACGAACGCUGGCGGCAUGCCUAACACAUGCAAGUCGAACGAGACCUUCAGGUCUAGUGGCGCACGGGUGCGUAACGCGUGGGAACCUGCCCUUAGGUUCGGAAUAACUCCCCGAAAGGGGUGCUAAUACCGGAUAAUGUCUUCGGACCAAAGAUUUAUCGCCUUUGGAUGGGCCCGCGUUGGACUAGCUAGUUGGUAGGGUAAAAGCCUACCAAGGCGACGAUCCAUAGCUGGUCUGAGAGGAUGAUCAGCCACACUGGGACUGAGACACGGCCCAGACUCCUACGGGAGGCAGCAGUGGGGAAUAUUGGACAAUGGGCGAAAGCCUGAUCCAGCAAUGCCGCGUGAGUGAUGAAGGCCUUAGGGUUGUAAAGCUCUUUUACCCGGGAUGAUAAUGACAGUACCGGGAGAAUAAGCUCCGGCUAACUCCGUG
RNAcentral lists this ribosomal RNA (433 nucleotides) under uncultured bacterium. RNAcentral's name for it is "partial 16S ribosomal RNA". It matches the Rfam family "Bacterial small subunit ribosomal RNA", at positions 29 to 507 of the family's 1533-position model. The record is from RNAcentral.